UUUUUCUUUUGGUCAUAUGCAUGUGGAUUUACUUUUGAAAGUUACCUUUACUCCACUGUUUUGGUGUAAUUGUCAAUCAGGGUACACUGACCUCCUCUAGAGAUAAGUGUCAUUCACUUUAGGCCAUCUGAACAUCUCAACUUUGAAUCUUGAGUUAAUGGACAGAAGCAUAAAAAUCACAACCUUGUUACUUGUCAUCCACAGCAUGUUGAUAAAACUAUUACUCACUCCUGCCAUCCAGCACCCCUGAGCUGUACCUGUUCCCACUCUGCCAGACGUGGUUCCCUUCAGUCCUUUUAAUAAUUAUGGUACCAUCUCACACCCUUCUGAUAAAUUCCCUUCUAGUUAAAUUACUCAGGCUUUGUCUAUAUUGUUUGCAACUAAAGAAAACCAAUUUAUGCAUGUGCAUCAAGUUAGUGAGAUGGUAGAUGAUUUUAAGAGUAAUUAGCUCCAUAAUAUGCCUCUGCUUCCCUAGUAGUACAAACAUUAUUGUAUUAUUUAGAUUCAAGUUCUGAAAGAGCUGUUUAAGUGGAAGUUGAUACUUUGUGACACUGCAACAAGAGGUAAAAGAUGUAGUUACGAAGCAACCUCAAGCAACACCUGUAAUCUUCUGUAUAUGGAGAAAGUGAUGGAUUAAUGAGGCAGGUCUGGUGUUCCUAAAUCCUGAAGGAUUUAAAACUGGGAUUACAAACUGAAAUGUUGUUAGUGAAUGAGCACUGAUGCAAAUGAGUGAGUCAUCCAAUAUAUGCUUACUUCCGUGAAGAAAUAAUGCCCAUUUCUCUUCAGCUUUUCCUGUCUGUCUUUUCAGUUUCUACCUUGGAUAGAGACAUGUGCAGAGACAUAUUGCUGGACUCUAAGGAAAACACCAGUGACAGUUUAGUGAUGAAUGGCAACUGAAACUCACCCACUUUUCUAGGGAAACAAUGGGAUCAUAAAGACUCAAGAAACUGGAGAAUAUAUGCCCUUUACAUGAAGCAACAUUCCUGAUUUUUUUUUUUUUAAAGUGGUGAGAAUUAUUACUUUUCUUAAAUGUACAAUAAUCUGUUUUUAUAUUUUGGCAACUAAUCUAAUUUAAAAACUAAAACAAAAACAAAAACAAAAAAACAGUGCGUCAGGCCAGGAAAACAAGUAAGCAUUCUGUUCCCAAACAAUACUAGAAGCUGGGUUGUGAUAAUGAGUCUGGAUUGGAGGCAUGUAAAACAUUUACUGACCACAACACUUAAGCAAACAAAAUAUUUUUACAAAGUAAAAUCAUAAGCUAGAACAAGCCAAGCCAGUCAUGGAAUAAAUCUCUGGGGGUAGCCUGGUGGAGCCUCCAGGGCCCAGCAAGUGAUGAACAGUAUGCAGAGAGAGGAACACUCUUCUAGUGCUGGCAGCUCUGGAGGGCAUUUUGAUGCACUUUGCUAGGCCAAAUAAGUGAAUCAUGUCUGCGUCAGGAAGUGGUUUGAUUACCUCAUUAUGUAUACAUUACAAAUAAUUUUUUUUUCUUUAUAGGGCCACACCUGCAGCAUAUGGAGGUUCGUUAACCACUGAGACACGACGGGAACUCCAGAAAUCAAAAAUUUUAAAGUAAAUAUUGAUAUUCCAAAUUUAUGAACUUAUUCCUCCCAGGGCUUGGAGUGCUUGAAGCUAAAAGAAAAGAAUGCUGUAUCCAUGUCAAGUUGUAUUUAGACUACUGCAUUUUACAACAUGGGUUACCUGGAAAAAUGAACCAUUGUUUUGCCACUGAGCAUCUUCAAAGAAGAGAAUAAGAUUGACAUCACUGUUCACAUCCAUUAGUCAAACUACAGUUGCUUUGGACAGGUAGUUUCCAGAAUGCAUCAGUCUCAUUUACACCCAACAGAAGGAACAUACAGUGUGCCUUUUUUUUUUUUUUUUUUUUUUUUGCUGUGACAUGAGGAUCCCAGAUACUAAGGCAGAAAGUGGUUUUUGACACAAAAUGCUUUUAGGAAAAAGACUGGAAGUAGGAGGUGAAAUGAAGAGUAAAUUUUCUGUAUGCUAAUGAUUAUAGAGAAAAAAGGAACAAUCCAAUUGUACUUAGGGGCUAGACCAAAAUAAUUGAGCAAACAAAAUAAUACAGCAGGAAAUCAACGGAUCUGAUAAACAGUGAAACAGUGAUUUUCCCCAAAGAAAUGCCACAUAGCUCUAAGUGUGUCUAAGAAUGUAGAAGAUUUUUCUAAUUCUUGGAAGUUUUUGUUCUAAUAAAUGCCACUAUACUAUUUACCAAUUUUAAGUUGUUCAUUUCUUGUACCCCAGGCAUUCUGC
RNAcentral lists this long non-coding RNA (2265 nucleotides) under Sus scrofa (pig). RNAcentral's name for it is "lncRNA (ENSSSCG00005039626.1)". The record is from RNAcentral. Lineage: Eukaryota; Metazoa; Chordata; Mammalia; Artiodactyla; Suidae.